RNAcentral lists this ribosomal RNA (169 nucleotides) under uncultured bacterium. Its description in RNAcentral is "partial 16S ribosomal RNA". It matches the Rfam family "Bacterial small subunit ribosomal RNA", at positions 338 to 524 of the family's 1533-position model. The record is from RNAcentral.
CCUACGGGAGGCAGCAGUGGGGAAUAUUGGACAAUGGGGGCAACCCUGAUCCAGCAAUGCCGCGUGAGUGAUGAAGGCCUUAGGGUUGUAAAGCUCUUUCGCCCGCGACGAUGAUGACGGUAGCGGGAGAAGAAGCCCCGGCUAACUUCGUGCCAGCAGCCGCGGUAAU